RNAcentral lists this ribosomal RNA (59 nucleotides) under Fusarium verticillioides. Its description in RNAcentral is "partial 28S ribosomal RNA". The record is from RNAcentral. Lineage: Eukaryota; Fungi; Ascomycota; Sordariomycetes; Hypocreales; Nectriaceae.
GACCUCGGAUCAGGUAGGAAUACCCGCUGAACUUAAGCAUAUCAAAAGCCGGGGAGGAA